AACACAGAUAAUGGAAUUUAAUGAUAUGAGAAAUGGAUGAUUAUUGU
This 47-nucleotide non-coding RNA is filed under the name Trypanosoma brucei brucei. Lineage: Eukaryota; Euglenozoa; Kinetoplastea; Trypanosomatida; Trypanosomatidae. The record is from RNAcentral.